This 935-nucleotide ribosomal RNA is filed under the name uncultured bacterium. RNAcentral's name for it is "bacterial SSU rRNA". It matches the Rfam family "Bacterial small subunit ribosomal RNA", at positions 45 to 971 of the family's 1533-position model. The record is from RNAcentral.
GGCUUACACAUGCAAGUCGAGGGGAAACGACGGGGAAGCUUGCUUCCCCGGGCGUCGACCGGCGCACGGGUGAGUAACGCGUAUCCAACCUGCCUCUGACUGAGGGAUAACCCGUCGAAAGUCGGCCUAAUACCUCAUGGUAUCGUCUGCGGGCAUCCAACGACGAUUAAAGAUUUCAUCGGUCAGGGAUGGGGAUGCGUCUGAUUAGCUUGUUGGCGGGGUAACGGCCCACCAAGGCUACGAUCAGUAGGGGUUCUGAGAGGAAGGUCCCCCACAUUGGAACUGAGACACGGUCCAAACUCCUACGGGAGGCAGCAGUGAGGAAUAUUGGUCAAUGGGCGAGAGCCUGAACCAGCCAAGUAGCGUGCAGGAAGACGGCCCUAUGGGUUGUAAACUGCUUUUAUGCGGGGAUAAAGUGAGGGACGUGUCCCUCAUUGCAGGUACCGCAUGAAUAAGGACCGGCUAAUUCCGUGCCAGCAGCCGCGGUAAUACGGAAGGUCCUGGCGUUAUCCGGAUUUAUUGGGUUUAAAGGGAGCGUAGGCCGUGGAUUAAGCGUGUUGUGAAAUGCAGGUGCUCAACGUCUGCACUGCAGCGCGAACUGGUCCACUUGAGUGUGCGCAACGCAGGCGGAAUUCGUCGUGUAGCGGUGAAAUGCUUAGAUAUGACGAAGAACUCCGAUUGCGAAGGCAGCUUGCGGGAGCACAACUGACGCUGAAGCUCGAAAGUGCGGGUAUCGAACAGGAUUAGAUACCCUGGUAGUCCGCACGGUAAACGAUGGAUGCCCGUUGUCAGGCUGUUUCAGCCUGGUGACCAAGCGAAAGCAUUAAGCAUCCCACCUGGGGAGUACGCCGGCAACGGUGAAACUCAAAGGAAUUGACGGGGGCCCGCACAAGCGGAGGAACAUGUGGUUUAAUUCGAUGAUACGCGAGGAACCU